This 328-nucleotide unclassified non-coding RNA is filed under the name soil metagenome. RNAcentral describes it as "partial contains 5.8S ribosomal RNA, internal transcribed spacer 2, and large subunit ribosomal RNA". The stretch from base 1 to 120 matches the Rfam family "5.8S ribosomal RNA", at positions 35 to 154 of the family's 154-position model. The record is from RNAcentral.
GAUGAAGAACGUAGCGAAAUGCGAUAAGUAAUGUGAAUUGCAGAAUUCAGUGAAUCAUCGAAUCUUUGAACGCACAUUGUGCCCCUUGGUAUUCCGAGGGGCAUGCCUGUUCGAGCGUCAUUAUAACCCCUCAAGCUCAGCUUGGUGUUGGGGCCUGCCGCACGGGCAGCCCUUAAAAUCAGUGGCGGUGCCAUCUGGCUCUAAGCGUAGUAAUUCUUCUCGCUAUAGAGUCACGGUGGAUGCUUGCCAUUAACCCCCAAUUUUCAAUGGUUGACCUCGGAUCAGGUAGGGAUACCCGCUGAACUUAAGCAUAUCAAUAAGCGGAGGA